RNAcentral lists this ribosomal RNA (490 nucleotides) under uncultured bacterium. RNAcentral's name for it is "partial 16S ribosomal RNA". It matches the Rfam family "Bacterial small subunit ribosomal RNA", at positions 30 to 507 of the family's 1533-position model. The record is from RNAcentral.
AUUGAACGCUGGCGGCAGGCCUAACACAUGCAAGUCGAACGGUAACAGGAAACAGCUUGCUGUUUCGCUGACGAGUGGCGGACGGGUGAGUAAUGUCUGGGAAACUGCCUGAUGGAGGGGGAUAACUACUGGAAACGGUAGCUAAUACCGCAUAACGUCGCAAGACCAAAGAGGGGGACCCUCGGGCCUCUUGCCAUCGGAUGUGCCCAGAUGGGAUUAGCUUGUUGGUGGGGUAACGGCUCACCAAGGCGACGAUCCCUAGCUGGUCUGAGAGGAUGACCAGCCACACUGGAACUGAGACACGGUCCAGACUCCUACGGGAGGCAGCAGUGGGGAAUAUUGCACGAUGGGCGCAAGCCUGAUGCAGCCAUGCCGCGUGUAUGAAGAAGGCCCUCGGGUUGUAAAGUACUUUCAGCGGGGAGGAAGGGAGUAAAGUUAAUACCUUUGCUCAUUGACGUUACCCGCAGAAGAAGCACCGGCUAACUCCGUG